CCUACGGGGGGCUGCAGUGGGGAAUAUUGCACAAUGGGCGCAAGCCUGAUGCAGCCAUGCCGCGUGUGUGAAGAAGGCCUUCGGGUUGUAAAGCACUUUCAGCGGGGAGGAAGGCGGUGAGGUUAAUAACCUCAUCGAUUGACGUUACCCGCAGAAGAAGCACCGGCUAACUCCGUGCCAGCAGCCGCGGUAAUACGGAGGGUGCAAGCGUUAAUCGGAAUUACUGGGCGUAAAGCGCACGCAGGCGGUCUGUCAAGUCGGAUGGGAAAUCCCCAGGCUCAACCUGGGAACUGCAUUCGAAACUGGCAGGCUAGAGUCUUGUAGAGGGGGGUAGGAUUCCAGGUGUAGCGGGGAAAUGCGUAGAGAUCGGGAGGAAUACCGGUGGCGAAGGCGGCCCCCUGGACAAAGACUGACGCUCAGGUGCGAAAGCGUGGGGAGCAAACAGGAUUAAUACCCGGGUAGUC
This 464-nucleotide ribosomal RNA is filed under the name uncultured Klebsiella sp. Its description in RNAcentral is "bacterial SSU rRNA". It matches the Rfam family "Bacterial small subunit ribosomal RNA", at positions 338 to 795 of the family's 1533-position model. The record is from RNAcentral. Lineage: Bacteria; Pseudomonadati; Pseudomonadota; Gammaproteobacteria; Enterobacterales; Enterobacteriaceae.